GCCAGCAUGGCGUAGUGGUUUGAGCGUUAAACUAUGACUCUGGAGACCAAGAUUUGAUUCCUCAUUUGGCC
Molecule: non-coding RNA, 71 nt
Organism: Phrynosoma platyrhinos (Desert horned lizard)
Lineage: Eukaryota; Metazoa; Chordata; Lepidosauria; Squamata; Phrynosomatidae
Source: the annotation of a GenBank genome assembly